GGAGUUAGCCGGUGCUUCUUCUGUGAGUGAUGUCCUUCCUGCCGGCUAUUAACCCGCAGGCCUUCUUCCUCACUGAAAGUGCUUUACAACCCGAAGGCCUUCUUCACACACGCGGCAUGGCUGGAUCAGGGUUGCCCCCAUUGUCCAAUAUUCCCCACUGCUGCCUCCCGUAGGAGUCUGGGCCGUGUCUCAGUCCCAGUGUGGCUGAUCAUCCUCUCAGACCAGCUACGGAUCGUCGCCUUGGUGAGCCGUUACCUCACCAACCAGCUAAUCCGACAUAGGCUCAUCCGAUAGCGCGAGGCCCGAAGGUCCCCCGCUUUCCCCCGUAGGGCGUAUGCGGUAUUAGCCUGGGUUUUCCCCAGGUUAUCCCCCACUACCGGGCAGAUUCCUAUGCAUUACUCACCCGUCCGCCGCUCGCCACCAGGGAGCAAGCUCCCCGUGCUGCCGCUCGACUUGCAUGUGUUAGGCCUGCCGCCAGCGUUCAAUCUGAGCCAGAAUCGAACCCUGA
This 508-nucleotide ribosomal RNA is filed under the name uncultured bacterium. RNAcentral's name for it is "partial 16S ribosomal RNA". The record is from RNAcentral.